RNAcentral lists this transfer RNA (97 nucleotides) under bacterium HR26. RNAcentral describes it as "tRNA-Sec". It matches the Rfam family "Selenocysteine transfer RNA". The record is from RNAcentral. RNAcentral also lists the same sequence under 1 other name.
GAGGGCGGAUCGGGCCCGGUGGCCUGCGCGGUCUUCAAAACCGUUGGGCGGGGUGACGAGCCUCGCCGGUGGGUUCGACUCCCAUGCGCCCUCGCCA